This 445-nucleotide ribosomal RNA is filed under the name uncultured bacterium. Its description in RNAcentral is "partial 16S ribosomal RNA". It matches the Rfam family "Bacterial small subunit ribosomal RNA", at positions 354 to 796 of the family's 1533-position model. The record is from RNAcentral.
GUGAGGAAUAUUGGUCAAUGGGCGGAAGCCUGAACCAGCCAAGUCGCGUGAAGGAAGACGGUUCUAUGAAUUGUAAACUUCUUUUGUGCAGGAAUAAAGUGGGUUACGUGUAACCUUUUGUAUGUACUGUACGAAUAAGGAUCGGCUAACUCCGUGCCAGCAGCCGCGGUAAUACGGAGGAUCCGAGCGUUAUCCGGAUUUAUUGGGUUUAAAGGGUGCGUAGGUGGAUUGAUAAGUCAGCGGUGAAAGUUUGCAGCUUAACUGUAAAAUUGCCGUUGAAACUGUCGGUCUUGAGUGCAAAUGAGGUAGGCGGAAUGUGUUGUGUAGCGGUGAAAUGCUUAGAUAUAACACAGAACUCCGAUUGCGAAGGCAGCUUACUGGGAUGCAACUGACACUGAUGCACGAAAGCGUGGGUAUCAAACAGGAUUAGAUACCCCUGUAGUCC